UUUACGUCCGAUUAAGGUCCAAUUUACGUCCGAUUAAGGUCCCAUUUACGUCCCAUUAAGGUCCAAUUUACGUCCUAUUAAGGUCCAAUUUACGUCCGAUUAAGGUCCAAUUUACGUCCGAUUAAGGUCCAAUUUAUGUCCGAUUAAGGUCCAAUUUACGUCCGAUUAAGGUCCAAUUUAUGUCCGAUUAAGGUCCAAUUUACGUCCGAUUAAGGUCCAAUUUACGUCCCCUAGGACGUCCGAUCAAGGUCCAAAUUACGUCCGAUUAAGGUCCAAUAUACGUCCCCUCGGACCUCAGAUGGACGUCCAAUGGACGUUCGGUAGCGCGACAUUUGGACCAAAAUAGGACGUAUAAAGGACG
Molecule: long non-coding RNA, 361 nt
Organism: Diabrotica virgifera virgifera (western corn rootworm)
Lineage: Eukaryota; Metazoa; Arthropoda; Insecta; Coleoptera; Chrysomelidae
Exons: 2
Source: RefSeq, a predicted model, not a curated record